AAAAGAUAUGGCCAGUAUCAGUUUAAACAGAAAACGCGUUUGAAUAGGCAGAAAAUGAUCAAAUGAGUAGUAUAUUAGAACUUGCAAAAUCAAUUGGAGAAGAAGGUUUUGUGGAUAUGAUUAUUGAGGAUAUUCAAGAUUUAUUAGUAGGAGAAGUAAUUGAAGAAGCAGAUCUGGUAGAAAUGGCAUCCAAAAUGAAUCAAAUCAGUUCUGAGGAUAACAGCACUGAUGAAGAUUGUAAAGUUAAUACUUUAGACCUUCCUGCAAUUUUUUUAGUGUUAAAGUUAGCCAAACAGCUAGAAUUACUUUUCUUGAAUGCAGAGCCUUUGGCAGAAAGAAGUCGU
Molecule: long non-coding RNA, 344 nt
Filed under: Androctonus crassicauda
Lineage: Eukaryota; Metazoa; Arthropoda; Arachnida; Scorpiones; Buthidae
Source: RNAcentral